AGUGAACGCUGGCGGUAGGCCUAACACAUGCAAGUCGAACGGCAGCACAGUAAGAGCUUGCUCUUACGGGUGGCGAGUGGCGGACGGGUGAGGAAUACAUCGGAAUCUACUUUUUCGUGGGGGAUAACGUAGGGAAACUUACGCUAAUACAGCAUACGACCUACGGGUGAAAGCAGGGGAUCUUCGGACCUUGCGCGAUUGAAUGAGCCGAUGUCGGAUUAGCUAGUUGGCGGGGUAAAGGCCCACCCAGGCGACGAUCCGUAGCUGGUCGGAGAGGAUGAUCAGCCACACUGGAAGUGAGACACGGUCCAGACUCCUACGGGAGGCAGCAGUGGGGAAUAUUGGACAAUGGGCGCAAGCCUGAUCCAGCCAUACCGCGUGGGUGAAGAAGGCCUUCGGGUCGUAAAGCCCUUUUGUUGGGAAAGAAAAGCAGCAGGUUAAUACCCCGCUGUUCUGACGGUACCCAAAGAAUAAGCACCGGCUAACUUCGUG
This 492-nucleotide ribosomal RNA is filed under the name uncultured bacterium. RNAcentral describes it as "partial 16S ribosomal RNA". It matches the Rfam family "Bacterial small subunit ribosomal RNA", at positions 29 to 507 of the family's 1533-position model. The record is from RNAcentral.